Molecule: ribosomal RNA, 253 nt
Filed under: uncultured bacterium
Lineage: Bacteria
Description: partial 16S ribosomal RNA
Rfam family: Bacterial small subunit ribosomal RNA
Source: RNAcentral
UACGUAGGGGGCUAGCGUUGUCCGGAAUCAUUGGGCGUAAAGCGCGCGUAGGCGGCCAGAUAAGUCCGGUGUGAAAGUCACAGGCUCAACCUGUGAAUGCCGCUGGAAACUGUCUGGCUAGAGUCCGGAAGGGGCGAGUGGAAUUCCUGGUGUAGCGGUGAAAUGCGCAGAUAUCAGGAGGAACACCAAUAGCGAAGGCAGCUCGCUGGGACGGUACUGACGCUAAGGCGCGAAAGCGUGGGGAGCGAACAGG